AGUCUUAUAGUCAUUAAUGAUAUAAAAUUGCAAAUUUUAAGGAAUAUUUUAUAUAUUAAGGCUU
This 64-nucleotide transfer RNA is filed under the name Rondotia menciana. Its description in RNAcentral is "tRNA-Cys". Lineage: Eukaryota; Metazoa; Arthropoda; Insecta; Lepidoptera; Bombycidae. The record is from RNAcentral.